Molecule: long non-coding RNA, 757 nt
Organism: Heterocephalus glaber (naked mole-rat)
Lineage: Eukaryota; Metazoa; Chordata; Mammalia; Rodentia; Bathyergidae
Source: Ensembl
UUGAAAUAGAGCAGACUGUCGGCCUGCAGGGAAAUAAACCAAAGAUGACCUCUCCUUGUGACCUUUUGGAUCUGCCUUGUGACCUUUGGAUCAUGGGUGUUUGACUUACUGAAAUUGCUCUCAGAACGACCCGGGAGGGAGAAAGCAGUCACAGCAACCUACCCCCACCGCCUCUGAAGUCUGAAUGGCAAAGCCCAGCUACAGAAUGACUCCGGUUGGCCUCCGGUCACAGCUGAGACUUUGGUGAUCCAGUGGUGCUGUGAUUCUCCAGGGCAAGAAACAUCCUGGGAGAACAAACAUCUUCUCAGUUCCUCAUUGUUCUUGGACUGUUAACAUCUUGUUUACCCAAGAUGUAUUGAACUCUCUGCAAGCUUUUUGUUACACCUUGUUUAUCCCAAUGUGAACUAUUGAACUCUCUGUAAGUCAUUUGUUGCAUUUGUUUCUCCAGAUGUACUGAAUUCUCUGCAAAUCAUUUGUUACGAGGUAAUGAAUAAAAGGUGUGGUGGGCUGGGGGCUUUGGUCUUUGCUGCCCAGAGAAAGCAGCACUGAUCAGACCCAAAGCUCAGCUUCUUCUCAGUCUCAUUUGUCUACCUUUUCUGUAAUUCGCUGUGUGCUGUCGUGGCUCGCAGGAGACCAGAACUCACUGCAGAGGUUCUGGUAAUGUCCCCUUCCCCUGUUCCAUACAAAAUCCUUACCAAAGUUACUGUCGUUUCUUGCUGGAGUUAAUUCCCCAUAUUAACCAGCUACUUUUACAGGU